This 225-nucleotide ribosomal RNA is filed under the name uncultured bacterium. RNAcentral's name for it is "partial 16S ribosomal RNA". It matches the Rfam family "Bacterial small subunit ribosomal RNA", at positions 326 to 545 of the family's 1533-position model. The record is from RNAcentral.
ACGCUCGACACCUACGGGGCAGCAGUAGGGAAUCUUCCACAAUGGGCGCAAGCCUGAUGGAGCAACACCGCGUGAGUGAAGAAGGGUUUCGGCUCGUAAAGCUCUGUUGUUGGAGAAGAACGUGCGUGAGAGUAACUGUUCACGCAGUGACGGUAUCCAACCAGAAAGUCACGGCUAACUACGUGCCAGCAGCCGCGGUAAUCUGAGGCGGGCGUGGACGAAGGC